RNAcentral lists this ribosomal RNA (550 nucleotides) under Serratia marcescens. Its description in RNAcentral is "bacterial SSU rRNA". It matches the Rfam family "Bacterial small subunit ribosomal RNA", at positions 81 to 627 of the family's 1533-position model. Lineage: Bacteria; Pseudomonadati; Pseudomonadota; Gammaproteobacteria; Enterobacterales; Yersiniaceae. The record is from RNAcentral.
UCCCUGGGUGACGAGCGGCGGACGGGUGAGUAAUGUCUGGGAAACUGCCUGAUGGAGGGGGAUAACUACUGGAAACGGUAGCUAAUACCGCAUAACGUCGCAAGACCAAAGAGGGGGACCUUCGGGCCUCUUGCCAUCAGAUGUGCCCAGAUGGGAUUAGCUAGUAGGUGGGGUAAUGGCUCACCUAGGCGACGAUCCCUAGCUGGUCUGAGAGGAUGACCAGCCACACUGGAACUGAGACACGGUCCAGACUCCUACGGGAGGCAGCAGUGGGGAAUAUUGCACAAUGGGCGCAAGCCUGAUGCAGCCAUGCCGCGUGUGUGAAGAAGGCCUUCGGGUUGUAAAGCACUUUCAGCGAGGAGGAAGGUGGUGAGCUUAAUACGUUCAUCAAUUGACGUUACUCGCAGAAGAAGCACCGGCUAACUCCGUGCCAGCAGCCGCGGUAAUACGGAGGGUGCAAGCGUUAAUCGGAAUUACUGGGCGUAAAGCGCACGCAGGCGGUUUGUUAAGUCAGAUGUGAAAUCCCCGGGCUCAACCUGGGAACUGCAUU